RNAcentral lists this ribosomal RNA (427 nucleotides) under uncultured prokaryote. RNAcentral describes it as "bacterial SSU rRNA". It matches the Rfam family "Bacterial small subunit ribosomal RNA", at positions 355 to 774 of the family's 1533-position model. The record is from RNAcentral.
UGGGGAAUAUUGGACAAUGGGCGCAAGCCUGAUCCAGCCAUACCGCGUGGGUGAAGAAGGCCUUCGGGUUGUAAAGCCCUUUUGUUGGGAAAGAAAUCCAGCCGGUUAAUACCUGGUUGGGAUGACGGUACCCAAAGAAUAAGCACCGGCUAACUUCGUGCCAGCAGCCGCGGUAAUACGAAGGGUGCAAGCGUUACUCGGAAUUACUGGGUGUAAAGGGUAUGUAGGCGGCCCUUCAAGUCGCGUGUCAAAGUCCAGUGCUCAACGCUGGGUGUGCACGCGAUACUGACGGGCUUGAGGGCUGGAGAGGUGAGCGGAAUUCCCGGUGUAGUGGUAAAAUACGUAGAGAUCGGGAGGAACACCAGCGGCGCAGGCGGCUCACUAGACAGUUUCUGACGCUAAGAUACGAAAGCGUGGGGAGCAAACA